AGUGAACGCUGGCGGUAGGCCUAACACAUGCAAGUCGAACGGCAGCACAGUAAGAGCUUGCUCUUACGGGUGGCGAGUGGCGGACGGGUGAGGAAUACAUCGGAAUCUACUUUUUCGUGGGGGAUAACGUAGGGAAACUUACGCUAAUACCGCAUACGACCUACGGGUAAAAGCAGGGGAUCUUCGGACCUUGCGCGAUUGAAUGAGCCGAUGUCGGAUUAGCUAGUUGGCGGGGUAAAGGCCCACCAAGGCGACGAUCCGUAGCUGGUCUGAGAGGAUGAUCAGCCACACUGGAACUUAGACACGGUCCAGACGCCUACGGGAGGCAGCAGUGGGGAAUAUUGGACAAUGGGCGCAAGCCUGAUCCAGCCAUACCGCGUGGGUGAGGAAGGCCUUCGGGUUGUAAAGCCCUUUUGUUGGGAAAGAAAAGCAGCAGGUUAAUACCCCGCUGUUCUGACGGUACCCAAAGAAUAAGCACCGGCUAACUUCGUG
Molecule: ribosomal RNA, 492 nt
Filed under: uncultured bacterium
Lineage: Bacteria
Description: partial 16S ribosomal RNA
Rfam family: Bacterial small subunit ribosomal RNA
Source: RNAcentral